CCUACGGGGGGCAGCAGUGGGGAAUAUUGCACAAUGGGGGAAACCCUGAUGCAGCGACGCCGCGUGAGUGAAGAAGUAUUUCGGUACGUAAAGCUCUAUCAGCAGGGAAGAAAAUGACGGUACCUGACUAAGAAGCCCCGGCUAACUACGUGCCAGCAGCCGCGGUAAUACGUAGGGGGCAGGCGUUAUCCGGAUUUACUGGGGGUAAAGGGAGCGUAGACGGCGGCGGAAGGCUGGAGUGAAAUCCCAUGGCUUAACCAUGGAACUGCUUUGGAAACUGUGCAGCUAGAGUGCAGGAGAGGUAAGCGGAAUUCCUGGUGUAGCGGUGAAAUGCGUAGAUAUUAGGAGGAACACCAGUGGCGAAGGCGGCUUACUGGACUGUAACUGACGUUGAGGCUCGAAAGCGUGGGGAGCAAACAGGAUUAGAUACCCUUGUAGUC
RNAcentral lists this ribosomal RNA (440 nucleotides) under uncultured bacterium. RNAcentral describes it as "partial 16S ribosomal RNA". It matches the Rfam family "Bacterial small subunit ribosomal RNA", at positions 338 to 795 of the family's 1533-position model. The record is from RNAcentral.